NNNCCCCCAGCGGUCUCAGUUCUCCCAGCUGCUCCCAGUCCCCACUGGGACAUGGCCCCUGGACACACAGAUAUACGUGCACUCACGUGUGUGAGCACAGCCAUACACACACACACACACACACACACACACACACAGAGCCAUGCACACACACACACACACACGCCUGUGCGGACAACCAUGGCUGCGCAUACAUAUGUGCAGGCACAAACGUGUACAGACAGGCACAGCUACACACGCAAACACACACACGUGCACACCAACAGGCACGCACAAACACAUAUGCGCACACCUGGACAGGCACAAGCAUGCGUGCACCCCCAUACCCAUGCACACACACGUGCAAGCAUUCACACACAGAUGUGUGCACACACAGACAUGCAUGCACACACCUGGUUACACACACAUGCAUGGACACACGUGUGCGCACACACACACACCCCCACACACACAGCCACAGGUGCAGGAAAGGCUGCAGGUCCCCACCCAGCACCCAACGCGACAGGGUGCUGAGGUGAGUCCCAGGCCCACCGUGCUGCACGUGUGUGCGUGUGCGGGGGGGGGGGUCCUUGCAAGUGCGCAUGUCUGCAUUUGCACACGUGUUCACAUUUGCAUGCAUGUUCUCAUGCCGCGUGUGCAUCUGCCCGUGGGUGUUUCCACCCGUGCACUUUUGCAGGUGUUUGUGCAGGCACGUGUGCAYGCUGUACACCUGCUUGCAUGCAUGUGCGUGCAUAUGUGUGCAUGCCUGCCCACGCGCGUGCAUAUUUGCAUUUGGAUGCGUGUUUGCACGAGUGCACGUGCUGGUGUGUUUGCACAUGUGUGUCUUUGCACACGUAUAUUCCCAUGUCUGUGUUUGCCUGCACGGGUGCACACGCAUGUGUAUUCACAUGUGUGUGUGCACAGCAGGCCACACUGGCGCGUGUCCCGCUGCCCUGCAGUGCCCACGGCUAAUUGGGAUCAUCUCAUUAGCGGGGAUUAAUGGCUAACUAUAGGCAGCUGGGGGGGGGCAGGUGACACAGGGGGGACAAGGCCACCACAGGGACACGGGGACGUUCCCCACCACCACCCUGGGAGCCCCCCAAAUCCCCUAAAUCCCCUGGCUUAAUC
This 1107-nucleotide long non-coding RNA is filed under the name Apteryx haastii (Great spotted kiwi). Its description in RNAcentral is "lncRNA (ENSAHAG00000008935.1)". The record is from RNAcentral. Lineage: Eukaryota; Metazoa; Chordata; Aves; Apterygiformes; Apterygidae.